RNAcentral lists this ribosomal RNA (458 nucleotides) under uncultured bacterium. RNAcentral's name for it is "partial 16S ribosomal RNA". It matches the Rfam family "Bacterial small subunit ribosomal RNA", at positions 338 to 795 of the family's 1533-position model. The record is from RNAcentral.
CCUACGGGAGGCAGCAGUGAGGCAUAUUGGUCAAUGGGCGAGAGCCUGAACCAGCCAAGUCGCGUGAGGGAGUACUGCCCUAUGGGUUGUAAACCUCUUUUGUCGGGGAGCAAAAGCCGGACGUGUCCGGCUGUGAGAGUACCCGAAGAAAAAGCAUCGGCUAACUCCGUGCCAGCAGCCGCGGUAAUACGGAGGAUGCGAGCGUUAUCCGGAUUUAUUGGGUUUAAAGGGUGCGCAGGCGGAUUUUUAAGUCAGCGGUAAAAUCGUGGGGCUCAACUCCAUCCAGCCGUUGAAACUGGGGAUCUAGAGUGUGCGAGAGGUAUGCGGAAUGCGUGGUGUAGCGGUGAAAUGCAUAGAUAUCACGCAGAACCCCGAUUGCGAAGGCAGCAUACCGGUGCACAACUGACGCUCAGGCACGAAAGCGUGGGUAUCGAACAGGAUUAGAUACCCCUGUAGUC